Pelobates cultripes (western spadefoot toad) is the source of this 428-nucleotide non-coding RNA. The record is from the annotation of a GenBank genome assembly. NCBI's taxonomy places the organism in Eukaryota, Metazoa, Chordata, Amphibia, Anura, Pelobatidae.
CCUGUUUAUUGUAUAAACCUCUUCCCUUCCAAUUCAGAUUUUAUUAGCCGUAAUGCUUGGGAGAAUAGAUUCAAACUUAGUUUCUUACCUUAAAAUUAUUUGGUACCCCCCUUGACACCCCUAUGGCAUUAAUAUACAUAUAUAUAUAUGUGUGGGUAAAACCACCCUUUAUAGGGGUACUCCUUUUUGUCCUGAAGCAUGAAUGAGGUGUGUCAAGAGUACCUUGGGGAUUGUCAUGUGUUAUGUGUAUGGACAUAAUAACCUAGGCUAGGGCACAUUUACUUAUUCUUAGAAAUCUUGUCUCAUGCUACCCUAGUACUGGCAGAUUCAGAUCAUUUAAACAUUCAAUAUUAAUAUCACCACAAACUCAAGAUAAGCAGAUGAUCUUGAAGAAGCUUUGACUGUGCGUAUGGCACCUCAGACGUGAG